CACUAUAGCCAUGCCACCGUGAACAUGCCUGAUCUCGUCUGAUCUCGGAAGCUAAGCAGGAUCGGGCCUGGUUAGUACUUGGAUGGAAGACCACCUAGAAAUAUCAGGUGCUGUAGGUG
RNAcentral lists this ribosomal RNA (119 nucleotides) under Pteropus alecto (black flying fox). The record is from RNAcentral. Lineage: Eukaryota; Metazoa; Chordata; Mammalia; Chiroptera; Pteropodidae.